This 29-nucleotide ribosomal RNA is filed under the name Silene hifacensis. RNAcentral describes it as "partial 26S ribosomal RNA". RNAcentral also lists the same sequence under 2 other names. Lineage: Eukaryota; Viridiplantae; Streptophyta; Magnoliopsida; Caryophyllales; Caryophyllaceae. The record is from RNAcentral.
CCCAGUCAGCGGGGCUACCCGCUGAAUUU